Molecule: ribosomal RNA, 382 nt
Filed under: Mytilus galloprovincialis (Mediterranean mussel)
Lineage: Eukaryota; Metazoa; Mollusca; Bivalvia; Mytilida; Mytilidae
Description: partial 16S ribosomal RNA
Rfam family: Bacterial large subunit ribosomal RNA
Source: RNAcentral
UAACGUGAGCGUCCUAAGGUAGCGCGAUAAUUUGCUUUUCAAUUGAAGGAUGGUAUGAAAGGGUUAACGAAGAAGGUGCUGUGUCUAAAAAUUCAAUUUAAACUAACUUUAAGGUGAAGAGGCCUUUAUGUAAAAGAAGGACGACAAGACCCUAUGAAGCUUUAUCUUAAUUGGAGCUUUCAGGCUCUUAUACGAUUUUGAUGGGAGAUCAGUAGAAAUAAGUCUUCUACUAUCAUAUUAAUCUUACUAGUAUUUCCUAACUUUAUAUGUGUGGCUAGCUACUCUAGGGAUAACAGCGCAAUUUCUCCCGAAAGAUGGUAUUGGAGGGGAAGAUUGCGACCUCGAUGUUGGCUUUAGAUAUCCUAGAGGCGUAGAAGCUUCU